This 1507-nucleotide ribosomal RNA is filed under the name uncultured bacterium. RNAcentral's name for it is "bacterial SSU rRNA". It matches the Rfam family "Bacterial small subunit ribosomal RNA". The record is from RNAcentral.
AGAGUUUGAUCAUGGCUCAGGACGAACGCUGGCGGCGGGCUUAACACAUGCAAGUUGAAGGAGAAGGGGGGACUUCGGUUUUCCUGGAGACUGGCGCACGGGUGAGUAACGCGUAGACAACCUGCCUAUAUCUGGGGGAUAACUCCGCGAAAGCGGGGCUAAUACCGCAUAAUGCAGCGGGGCCGCAUGGCCGCAGUUGUUAAAGCCCCGACAGUAGUCGGGACGGAUAUAGAUGGGUCUGCGUGCUAUUAGCUGGUUGGUAGGGUAACGGCUUACCAAGGCGAUGAUAGCUAGGGGGUCUGAGAGGAUGAUCCCCCACACUGGGACUGAGACACGGCCCAGACUCCUACGGGAGGCAGCAGUGAGGAAUCUUGCGCAAUGGGGGAAACCCUGACGCAGCCACGCCGCGUGCCGGAAGACGGCCCUAUGGGUUGUAAACGGCUUUUGGUCGGGAAGAAUCUGGGGGUUUCGACCUCCACUGACGGUACCGAUUGAAUAAGCACCGGCUAACUCCGUGCCAGCAGCCGCGGUAAUACGGAGGGUGCAAGCGUUGUCCGGAAUCAUUGGGUGUAAAGGGUGCGCAGGCGGGCGCCUAAGUCGGAGGUGAAAUCUUGCCGCUUAACGGUAAAAUGGCCCCCGAUACUGGGUGUCUUGAAUCUGACAGAGGCCGGUGGAAUACGUAGUGUAGCGGUGAAAUGCAUAGAUAUUACGAAGAACACCAGUGGCGAAGGCGGCCGGCUGGGUCAGUAUUGACGCUGAGGCACGAGAGCGUGGGGAGCGAACAGGAUUAGAUACCCUGGUAGUCCACGCUGUAAACGAUGUAUGCUAGUUGUGGGGUUUUCGGACUCUGUGACGCAGUUAACGCAGUAAGCAUACCACCUGGGGAGUACGUUCGCAAGAAUGAAACUCAAAGGAAUUGACGGGGGCCCGCACAAGCGGUGGAGCAUGUGGCUUAAUUCGAUGCAACGCGAAGAACCUUACCCGGGCUAAAUCCACGAUGACCGCCCCCGAAACGGGGCUUCCCUUCGGGGCAUCAUGGAAGGUGCUGCAUGGCUGUCGUCAGCUCGUGCCGUGAGGUGUUGCCUUAAGUGGCGCAACGAGCGCAACCCCUGUGGUUAGUUACCAGUACGUCAAGGUGGGGACUCUAGCCAGACUGCCUACGCAAGUAGUGAGGAAGGUGGGGACGACGUCAAGUCAUCAUGGCCCUUAUGUCCGGGGCUGCACACGUGCUACAAUGGACGGUACAACGGGAAGCCACUGGGCGACCAGGCGCAGAUCCCGAAAGCCGUUCCCAGUUCGGAUUGGAGUCUGCAACUCGACUCCAUGAAGGUGGAAUCGCUAGUAAUCGCGUAUCAGCAACGACGCGGUGAAUACGUUCCCGGGCCUUGUACACACCGCCCGUCAAGCGAUGGAAGUUAGGAGUACCUGACGUCGCCGUGCUAAUCCCUUCGGGGAAGGCAGGUGCCUAGGGUAAGCCUGGUAACUGGCGCUAAGUCGUAACAAGGUA